RNAcentral lists this ribosomal RNA (482 nucleotides) under uncultured bacterium. Its description in RNAcentral is "partial 16S ribosomal RNA". It matches the Rfam family "Bacterial small subunit ribosomal RNA", at positions 29 to 507 of the family's 1533-position model. The record is from RNAcentral.
AUUGAACGCUGGCGGCAUGCUUUACACAUGCAAGUCGAACGGUAACAGGCCGCUAGGUGCUGACGAGUGGCGGACGGGCGAGUAAUGCAUCGGAACGUGCCCGGUCGUGGGGGGUAACUACUCGAAAGAGUAGCUAAUACCGCAUACGAACUAUGGAUGAAAGCGGGGGACCGUAAGGCCUCGCGCGAUUGGAGCGGCCGAUGUCAGAGCAGGUAGAUGGUGGGGUAAGGGCUCACUAAGCCAACGAGCUAUAGCUGGUCUGAGAGGAGAACCGGCCACACUGCGACUGAGAGACGGCCCAGACUGCGACUGGAGGCCGGAGCGGGGAACUUUGGACAAUGGGAGCAAGCAUGAUCCAGCAAUGCGGCGUGGACUAAGAAGGCAUUCGGGCUGGAAACUGGAUUGGUUAGGGAUGAAAAGGCUCUUGUUAAUAACAGGAGGUAAUGACGGUAUCGUAAGAAUAAGCACCGGCUAACUACGUG